UGUGUGGUGGCUGUGGGAAGUCCGUGUAGCGGCCGCUAAUCCCGGGCCGGGGACAGAGUAUGUGAGGUUAACAAAUGAUGGACAACAUCACUAGUACCUGAGGCAGGCGAACGAACCAGUCUGGAUUGUGUAUCCCCAGGCAGGCGACCGAACCAUGUAGUAGAGCUCAAUUUCUCCGACACUUCGGCGAUCGCACCCAGUCAGCGCAUGCACAGAUUCCAGCACAAAACAGCAACGACCUUCAGAAAAAGUGAAAAGCUGGCAUGGAUUUCUUCCAAAUCGCCACACUCUCCCUCCCUGGAGAAAACAACCUAUGGUUGUUGAAAUAUUAAUCAUAUUUAAAAUCCAAUGAAUUCCUCAUCAUCAGACGAUUCAUUGAAUAUUUGGCAGAGUCUUUUCUUCUCCUGGCUUUCCAGCUCUUCAGCCGUGGGAAAGCAUGGUUUCAGGUUGCACACAUGCACUAUGCGAACAUCUUCGCCAGUGGACUCUAGCGCUACUCGAUAAUUCAAUGGACCCAUCUGCUUUAUGACACGGUAGGGGCCUUUCCAUUUCUGAGCCAAUUUUGCAGUGAAGUGAUGUUGUGCACUAGACUGGGGAAAAGUCCUCAUCCACACACGAUCCUUUUCCUUGUAUGUAACCUCUCGUCUUUUUUUAUUAUAAUUCCGAAGCUGUCUCUUUUGUGCUUUUUUGCAGCAUUCCAUGGCCUUGGUCUGAAGCUCAGUUAGAUGGUGGACUGUAUCGUAAGAUAGACAAUCUGGAGUUAUAUUCUUGCCAUGUAACAACUUGUCCAUGGGACUUUGCAGUUUCCUUCCCAAAUGAAGCUCUGCAGGGGUCAUCCCAAUCGUUUCCUGGACAGCUGAAUUAAUAGCGAAACGGAGUUCAGAAUGAAGUCCGGUACCCCCCAACGGGUUAGAAUUUCCUUCCGAAGAAGUAAUGCAACAGUCUGAG
This is a long non-coding RNA of Carassius gibelio (silver crucian carp), 948 nucleotides long. RefSeq lists it as uncharacterized. Lineage: Eukaryota; Metazoa; Chordata; Actinopteri; Cypriniformes; Cyprinidae. The record is from RefSeq and is a predicted model, not a curated record. The transcript is spliced from 3 exons.